AGGGCAUCUUCUGGCUGCUUGGUGGGCCAGGUGUCAGUUUAGCGGCGUGUGAGUGAGUGUGCGCGUGCGGUGGUGCGGCGGGCCGGUGUACAACGUUCACCUGGGUGGGGAUUCAGACAGCCUGUUGGAGCAGUGUACACGAUCCGAGGUGUGUAUUAUUGGAGUGAAGGCUGCGUCCAGGUGAUCGCCCGGCCCCUUAAGCUCAAGGAAAAUACUUCACGACGAGGAUUAUACUUAAACCGACCCGAUAACUUACGACUUUAUCGAAUCGUUGAGCCGAGGCGAUAGUUGAGUGCGUUGGCAUCAACUUGGCUCCGAUCUGUAGGACGUCACCCUAAAGACUGUGUCCAAGCGGGUGGCUUCAACUGGCCGUGACCCCUGUGUCAUUACCUGAGGACACCGCCGCUGCCGGUGGAAGGGACGGCGGCAGCUACCACUGACCGGGUGCCACUCGACUCCUUUGAGUGUGGCAUCACAAGUGGUAGCGAGGCACGUGGUGGCCUCGGCAUCACCCACUCCUCGCCUCAGGUGACCCCAGCUGCAGUUGUUGACGGGCAGCAGCUGAGCGUUGUUCAAGAUGUCUGGACGAGUAGGCGAGGACAGUGACGCCCCUAAGGGUCCUCACGGGGGCGGGGCACCCACGAUCAACGGCUCCAUCGAGGCAACACUCACUCCGGAGCUCCUCUUCCGCAUGAACAAGAAGAUCGCACAGCUUACAAAGGGUGUCAAGUGUGUCAUGUAGUACCGGAUGGCGCCUGCAGUGUUGUUUGGACGCAGCGUAUAAGGCAAAGGCAGGCGGUGAUGCUCCUUGGCGGGUGAACUAAAGUGAGUGAGUGAUGAGGGAAAGCCACGCCAUCAAGAGGCACCAGGCGGGAUGUAAACACGCGGCAGCUCUUUGCGGGUCACAAUUUGGCACAAGAACUACUGCCGCGUGACACAUAAAAGCAUGAAAAGAAGCUUAUUUGUGUCAUAUGCACCUGGCAUCUCGUCCAUACACGCUCUUCACAAGUUUCCCUGCAAGAAGGAUAGCAGAGAUCCUGUGCUACUUCCACCAAUAUGGAAAGAAGCUUAGUCAUGCAGCAAACUAUAAAUUGUUUUAAACGAAUAAAAAUUUCCUUAAACAGCCACGCCUUGACCACUCUGACCUGAAAGU
Molecule: long non-coding RNA, 1153 nt
Organism: Scylla paramamosain (green mud crab)
Lineage: Eukaryota; Metazoa; Arthropoda; Malacostraca; Decapoda; Portunidae
Exons: 3
Source: RefSeq, a predicted model, not a curated record